This 424-nucleotide ribosomal RNA is filed under the name Nasutitermes nigriceps. RNAcentral's name for it is "partial 16S ribosomal RNA". The record is from RNAcentral. Lineage: Eukaryota; Metazoa; Arthropoda; Insecta; Blattodea; Termitidae.
UUACGUUGUUAUCCCUAAGGUAAUUUAAUCUUAUAAUCAAAAUAAAUGGAUCAAAAAAAUAUACAUAAAUAUAUAAAAACAAAGAGGAGUUAAAUAUUAUUCCUCCCAUCACCCCAACAAAACAGCUAUUCCCACUCAAUGCAACAAAAACAAACAAUAAAUAAGCGGAAACCCUGUCAAACUCUAUAGGGUCUUCUCGUCCCAUAAAAACAUUUAAGAAUUUUAACUCAAAAACCAAAUUCAACAAACCAAUACCUUUAAGACAGCUUAUAUCUCGUCAAGCCAUUCAUACCAGAUCACAAUUAAAGAACUAAUGAUUAUGCUACCUUUGCACGGUCAAAAUACCGCGGCCCUUCAACUCUAAGUCAGUGGGCAGGCCAUACUUCAAAAACUAACAAGAAAAGAUGUUUUUGAUAAACAGGCG